AGAGCUGCACGGAGGUUGGGCGGGAAGGUGAUCCUGUACUUUCAAGUUGGGAGGAGCAGGGUGUGGGGAGUUUCCAAGAGGAUUUUCAUAUGUUAAAGAAGACCCCCGGGAUCCUGCAGGUCCGGACAUUGUCGGGCUAAGAAGCUUUUUGCCGCUAGCAAAGCAGUAACGUUAGGCAGCUGGGAGUUCUCGGAGGAAGGUCACUCUGCCUGGCUCUAGUGUUUGUCCAUGGGCUGCAGGUUGUAAGGACAUUUAAUUUUAUCUACACGUCUUUUCCUUUUGUUCUCCUCAGCAAGUCUAAAGGCCAUCUUGCUGCUUGGGGAGGGUGGGUGCAGUUCCCGGGGCCCCAGUAGGUGGGGGAGUCUGCUUUAGGGAUGGGAUGGGGUGGGGUGCAGAGGGGCUGUCCAUUCUUGUGACGUUGCUUGUCGUACCCCGAAGAGGGGUGUGGCCUCCUUCUUGGAAGGCCCCAGAAUGGGAUGAGGGUUAGGGGCGUGGUUUCAGAGUUGAGGUGCCCCAUCCUCCCAGCCCUAGGAAAUAGCUGUGGGGCCCCCUGUGGGGCCUUCCAUCUGUGUGCCGGCAGGGACAGGUGGGGGGACAGGCUGGGACAGGCGGCUAGCAGUGUCUGGGGCGAGUGAUAAACAGCCCAAUCUAGACAGAUGGGGAGCGCAGGGACCUCUGGCCAGGAACCCGCUGCUGCGUCGUGGGGACGCCAGCCUGAGCCCAAACAAGCCGGUAAGUGUCCUCCAUCCUGGAGAGAUGAGGCUGUCACGGCGCUGGGCUCCCAUCCUGCUGGCACCUCUCUAGCUGUGUGACCUCCAGCAAGUCACCUGACAGCCCAGAGCCCAGGCUGCAUCGGGGGCGGAGCAGUGUCUCCUUGCAGGUCUGAUCCAGAGCAACAAAGGCAAAGCAGCUUGUCCUGAGGAGAGGCGACCUCAGGUGCUGUCCGCCUGUCCUGACCUUCAAGGCCAACUGCAUUGCCUCCCAGAUCCAGCAGAGCUGCAGAUGUCCCCAGCCAGCCCUGACCUUGACACCCCACCCCACCCUGCGGCUGGUCCUGGGUUCUAGAACUUUCCUGGCCAGCCUGAAUACUGACCGGGGCCUGAACUCUGAGCUGGAUGUUGGUUACAGGAGGGCCCGGGCUGCCCCCUGCAGGGUCCAGCUACCCCAGCCCCUCAUGCCCCUCUCAGCCACACUCUCCCCUUCCAGCCAACAGACAUCAUUAGAGCCAACCCCGAGGUGAGUGCUGGAUGGGAACUCAAGAUGCAGAUGCACCGGGAUCCCUGGGUGGCACAGUGGUUUAGCGCCUGCCUUUGGCCCAGGGCAUGAUCCUGGAGACCCGGGAUCAAAUCCCACGUCGGGCUCCGGGUGCAUGGAGCCUGCUUCUCCCUCUGCCUGUGUCUCUGCCUCUCUCUCUCUCUCUCUCUCUCUCUGUGUGUGACUAUCAUAAAUAAAAAAAUAAAAAAUAAAAAGAUGCAGAUGCACCAUGGUGUGGUCCCUGGCCCCAUGGACUUUGGGGUCUGGAGAAGGGAUGGGCAUGAACACUGUUCAAAGACAGCAUGUGAGUGAGGGUUGUGCACUGAAGUGUCCAGAGGCCGAGGGAGGGCCCCAGUUUGCCCUUGACACUCUCAGCUUACCAACAUUGCCCUGGUGCCAAUAGAGUGUUCCUUUGUACUCCCAAGUGUCCCAGUGUGGAUGACAAAUCUCCUGGGUGCCCUAGUGUGAGGGAAGUGAGGAGGAGGGUCACAUAUCCUCACUCAGAAGGCUGGGGGGCUUCCCAGAGGAGGGGGUAUCUGCCUAAGCUUCCCAAAGGUAAUGUGGGGUGAGGAGGAAAGGGCUGCCAUGGAUGGGGGGGGCCUGAAGCACGGCACCUGCUGUGGAGAAGAGAAAGAUGGGGACCUCACUGAAGCACGCUGGCACCGUUAGUGUAAAUCAAGUGGCUGUACGUGGUGGGUCUAUCUCUGGACUCCGUUUCCCUGCUCCACUUGCCUAGCCUUAUGCCAACACCACCCGAGUCUGUCACUGUAGUGUGAUAACCUGUCAUAAAAUCACGUG
Molecule: long non-coding RNA, 2052 nt
Filed under: Canis lupus familiaris (dog)
Lineage: Eukaryota; Metazoa; Chordata; Mammalia; Carnivora; Canidae
Description: lncRNA (ENSCAFG00030025509.1)
Source: RNAcentral